UCCUACGGGGGGCAGCAGUAGGGAAUUUUCGUCAAUGGGCGCAAGCCUGAACGAGCAAUGCCGCGUGAACGAGGAAGGUCUUCGGAUCGUAAAGUUCUGUUGAAGGGGAAAAAGAGCGGAGAGAGGAAAUGGUCUCCGAUUGAUAUUACCCUUCGAGGAAGUCACGGCUAACUACGUGCCAGCAGCCGCGGUAAUACGUAGGUGGCGAGCGUUAUCCGGAAUGAUUGGGCGUAAAGGGUGCGUAGGCGGCCUGCUAAGUCUGGAGUGAAAGGUACCGGCUCAACCGGUACAGGCUCUGGACACUG
RNAcentral lists this ribosomal RNA (305 nucleotides) under uncultured bacterium. RNAcentral describes it as "bacterial SSU rRNA". It matches the Rfam family "Bacterial small subunit ribosomal RNA", at positions 337 to 635 of the family's 1533-position model. The record is from RNAcentral.